AAUGAACGUUGGCGGCGUGGAUUAGGCAUGCAAGUCGUACGGAGGUAGCAAUACCUUAGUGGCGAAAGGGAUAGUAAUACAUAGAUAUCUGCCCCCCGGUCGAGGAUAGCUACGGGAAACUGUAGGUAAUACUCGAUGAUUUCUCCGGAACAAAGGUGUGAUUCCGCCGGGGGAUGAGUCUAUGUCCUAUUAGCUUGUUGGCGGGGUAAUGGCCCACCAAGGCUAAGAUGGGUACGAGGCGUGAGAGCGUGACCUCGAUCACUGGGACUGAGACACUGCCCAGACACCUACGGGUGGCUGCAGUCGAGAAUCUUCGGCAAUGGACGAAAGUCUGACCGAGCGACGCCGCGUGUGUGAUGAAGGUCUUCGGAUUGUAAAGCACUGUAAGUUGGGAGGAAAUGUGUGGGGGUACUCCCCCAUGCUUGACCUAUCUUCAAAGUAAGGACGGGCUAAGUUCGUGCCAGCCGCCGCAGUAACAC
This 479-nucleotide ribosomal RNA is filed under the name uncultured bacterium. RNAcentral's name for it is "bacterial SSU rRNA". It matches the Rfam family "Bacterial small subunit ribosomal RNA", at positions 29 to 526 of the family's 1533-position model. The record is from RNAcentral.